UGUGCCCCGUGCAGCCCUCAGCCCAGCUUGGCAGUGGCCGCUGUCCUCUGAGACGGGAGGAGAGCUGCCCAGCCUGACAGCCCGAGGGAUAUGGAAACAGCUUGGCCCACUGCGGCCCGGUCAGCCACUAACUGUCACUUCUCCCUCUGCUCUUAUCUUGCUGCUGCUGGCCUUUUCCUCGGUAAGUGCCAGCACCGUCUUUGCUGCCAUCAGUCCCACUGCUCUGCGGGCCAUUUGGAGCGUGCAUUUUGUCCUGUUUCCUGGCAUGAGGCGCUCUGCGGACAGACGGGGAGGGAAGAGCAGGCCUCGCUCCUCUCCCCCAAGCAUGUGGUGGGAGCUCUUGAGGUCUGUGCACGAGGCUGUCCUCGCUGCCAUGUCCCACACUACCUGGCGCCGCUGCAGAGUGGCCGGGCGCGUCUGUGUCUGUACGUGUGUGCGAGGCACCUCUUGUUUCUGGAUUUUGCCUGGGUCUUCUCAGCGGGACGGCGCGCGCCGGCUUGCGUGUGGGGGCCUCCUGAAGCUGCUUGUGCCGCGACAGGGCCUGCCUAACCUCUCUUCCUGUCUCCUUCCAGGUCCAGGGAGUCGGUAGUAAGGGAUGGCGGGACGUCACCACCUUUUUUUCGGGGAAAGCAGAGGGCCCCUUGGACAGCCCCUCGGAGGGCCACAGUUAUCAGAACAGCUGUCCGGACCACUUCCAAAACAGCAACAUAGACCAGAGCUUCUGGGAGACCUUUGGAAGUGCUGAGCCCACCAAGACCCGCAAGUCCCCGAGCAGCGACAGCUGGACGUGCGCGGACACCUCCACCGAGAGGAGGAGCUCGGACAGCUGGGAGGUGUGGGGCUCGGCCUCCACCAACAGGAACAGCAACAGCGACGGCGGGGAGGGCGGGGAGGGCACCAAGAAGGCAGUGCCGCCGGCCGUGCCCACUGAUGAUGGUUGGGACAACCAGAACUGGUAGGGCCCACCGCGCCCCCAUCCCCAGCGCCCCCGGGCGACUUCGUGUUUGCACUCUGCCCUCAUCGUUCCUCCUCCUUCCAUUUGACCCAAGAAUCAGCAACUGCAGUGUGAGGACAGCGUCUCGGGAGGCAGGACCCUAGGGAGACCCGGGUGCGCGCCGCCUGCGCGUGGGGAGUCUCGGUGCGUGGGGGCGGCUUGCUGUCCAGCCUGUGUGGGGGCCGUCCUGUCCCACACUCCCCUGGGCCUUCUUGGACUCAAGGCCGGGGCUCUGCGUGGCUUGCUGGGAGGUGGGCUGUAGCACAGAGGCCUGUGACCGCGUUCCAGCGGCCGGUUCACUACGCAGUGUCUCUGGGGCCUGGGACCAGCCACGUGCCGAGCUGUCAGCGACGUGAGGUGUCCCUUCUCGUUGAGAUAUUUAACUUUGGCUUUGCUCUAGUUCUUUCUUUUUGAAGAGAGUGACUGGAGUGGUAAAGAUGGAAAUGCUGGAAACGAUACUGGCGCUCACGCUGCCAUCCGACCACCCUCGGCUCCCGAGUCCACGCCUGCCUGGGCCUGUGCUGUCAAACCCGCGUCGGUCGUAACCCUCUGUGGCUCCCCUGCAUCAGCACCAUCCCACCACCAAGUUCACCAGGUUCACCAGAGACGGCCUCCACAAUAGCCACACCCACACCUGAGCUGUUCUCAGUGCUGAAACUUGACCAUCCUGGAACACCCUGGAAGAAAAAGGAGCGCAGGGUGGGCCUUCGGCCCUGAUGCAGGAGGGUGCGAUAGCGGACGUGGCCAGGCAGGAGGGGCUGGGUUCAGGAGCUGAGCAGGGGAUGCCUGUGCGUGGUGCCUGGGUCUAGGGAAGCUCCAGCCCCGGGAUGGGGCUGCCCUGCACACCGGUGCCCACCACAUGCCAACCCUCACCUCCCCGAGGACUGGAUGAUGUGCUGCCACGUGUGACUCGUCUCCCUUGUCCGCCCUGUGUGACCCUCAGUCUUGCCAGCCAUGCAUGCGCCCGAAGCUCGUGCAGUUUGUACGUGAGGUGCUCUCUUCCCUGCCACCGUGCUCAUCACUGUGGCUUUGGCCACGCUCCCUGGUCACCCCACUUCCUGGUCGCCGUCUGCAGCGCUCCUGGAGCAGCCUGGGCCCUUCAGCCCCUGUGCUCGUCCCACCCUGGGGACUCAGCCACUUGCAGAACAGGAUGGGACCGAGAUUUCAGCGAGCCCUCCUGGCGCCCGGUCCUCCCUGUGGGCACCAGCCCUCUUGGUAGCUGGUGUGGAGGGCCGGUGUCCUUGGCUGCCACGGAGGGAUUUGAUCACCGAAGCAGCCACCUGCUGUAGUUGGACCUGAGGUCAGAGGUGGGGGAUCAGAGGCUCAAGGUGCUGAGAAGCCACCGGGAAAGCGGCCAGCACAAAGGGCCCAGGAAGCCAGCCCCCGAGAGCUGAGCAUGGGGGUCUUUGCGUGUCUUUCUCCAAGCUGAGACGUGGGCGGCCGCGUGGUAUCUCCCGAGGGCUGCUUGGACCCUGGUGGGCUGAGUGCUCCGAGGAGGGGUGGACUCCACCCUGGACAGUGGGAUGUGUUGUUCCAUGUGCCUGUUUCCACGCCAGCACCUUGACUUGGCAGCAGGGAGCCAAGGUGCGGGCAGGUGGGCCUGGGACCGGUGCUGGGGCCUCUCCUGGCUGUGUGUGAGGGCCCGUGUGGAAGGCGCAGACCUGACAGCAUUCCAAUAAAGCAUACGGGAACAUG
Molecule: small RNA, 2689 nt
Filed under: Pan troglodytes (chimpanzee)
Lineage: Eukaryota; Metazoa; Chordata; Mammalia; Primates; Hominidae
Description: retained intron
Source: RNAcentral